Molecule: ribosomal RNA, 253 nt
Filed under: uncultured bacterium
Lineage: Bacteria
Description: partial 16S ribosomal RNA
Rfam family: Bacterial small subunit ribosomal RNA
Source: RNAcentral
UACGUAGGUUGCAAGCGUUAUCCGGAAUUAUUGGGCGUAAAGCGCGCGUAGGCGGUUUAUUAAGUCUGAUGUGAAAGCCCACGGCUCAACCGUGGAGUGUCAUUGGAAACUGGUAGACUUGAGUGCAGAAGAGGAAAGUGGAAUUCCAUGUGUAGCGGUGAAAUGCGUAGAGAUAUGGAGGAACACCAGUGGCGAAGGCGACUUUCUGGACUGUAACUGACGCUGAUGUGCGAAAGCGUGGGGAGCAAACAGG